RNAcentral lists this ribosomal RNA (527 nucleotides) under uncultured euryarchaeote. RNAcentral describes it as "bacterial SSU rRNA". It matches the Rfam family "Archaeal small subunit ribosomal RNA", at positions 24 to 559 of the family's 1478-position model. Lineage: Archaea; Methanobacteriati; Methanobacteriota. The record is from RNAcentral.
UCACUGCUAUCGGGGUUCGAUUAAGCCAUGCGAGUCGAGAGGGUUCGGCCCUCGGCGUACUGCUCAGUAACACGUGGAUAACCUGCCCUAGGGGAGGGGAUAACCCCGGGAAACUGGGGAUAAUACCCUAUAGGUUACAGAUGCUGGAAUGCCCUGUAACCAAAAGCUCCGGCGCCCUAGGAUGGAUCUGCGGCCGAUUAGGUUGUUGUUGGGGUAACGGCCCAACAAGCCCGUAAUCGGUACGGGUUGUGGGAGCAAGAGCCCGGAGUUGGAUUCUGAGACACGAAUCCAGGCCCUACGGGGCGCAGCAGGCGCGAAACCUUUACAAUGCGGGCAACCGUGAUAAGGGAACCUCGAGUGCCUGUAAACGCAGGCUGUUCAGGUGUUUAAAACGCACCUGGAGAAAGGGCCGGGCAAGACCGGUGCCAGCCGCCGCGGUAAUACCGGCGGCUCGAGUGGUGGCCGCUUUUAUUGGGCUUAAAGCGUUCGUAGCUGGGUUGUAAAGUCUCUUGGGAAAUCUGGCGGCU